Molecule: RNA transcript, 2859 nt
Organism: Selaginella moellendorffii
Lineage: Eukaryota; Viridiplantae; Streptophyta; Lycopodiopsida; Selaginellales; Selaginellaceae
Gene name: BTB/POZ domain-containing protein At1g63850
Exons: 5
Source: RefSeq, a predicted model, not a curated record
CGCGACGCCAUAGCUAGGGUUUGGCCAAGCUUCUUGUCCGAGAGAGAAAGUAGAUAUUCCUGCUCUCAGGGUUUGAUCGAUCUUCGUCGGUGCCUUCCAUGCGCUCCUAGGUAGGGUUUUGAGGCGCUGCGAAGAAAUCCCGGCAUGGAGGUAGCGCCGUCGCCGCGGCAUCCGCCCAAGCGCGGCUCGAAAUUGUCGUCCGCCAAGCGCCGCGCGGAGACGGUGGAUACGGAGGGAAUGUGGUGCUGCAUUGUCCGGCGGCCGGCAGCGGCGAUGGUGCGCGCGAGCGGAGAGGAGGAGUGGCGCCGGCGGGGCUCAUCCGUGGCGGCGGCGCGGCACGACGAGGAGAAUGCCACCACCGGCGGCAAUGCGGGCUCGGCCAAGAACUCCAAGGAAUUCGUGCUCAGGCCCAAGGAGCUGGAGGCGCUCAUUAAGCAAGGCACGGGGAUCGUGGUGGAGCGCACCAGCAAGGGCUCGCCCUUCCGGCUUCGUCUCUCGCCAGGAAGAGUGUCGCCCAUCUCCGAGACUGCCAUCGUCCCCGUGACGGCUUCUUCUUCCCCGGCUCUUGGCAAGUGCUCCAGCGGGAAGAUGCUCAUGCCCGUCUCUCCGCCCGUGGACAAGGCGAGAGCGUCGCCAACACUCAUGGAGAUGAUGGCGCUCGAGCAAGACAUCCACAGUUCCAAGCAGUCCGUGAUGCUCUCCUUGCCCAGGCCGCCGUCCGUCCAGGAGAAAGUGGACGCGAUUCUCCUCCUCCGGAGCCCUGGCAACCAGUUCAACGAUCCAUCCUCGAGCGAUGUCAAGCUCACCAUCACGGGCAGGGAUGGUUUCAGCAUCUCGAUCAAUGUCCACAGGCACAUCCUCACUGCCCAGAGCCGCUUCUUCGCGGCAAAGUUCUCGGAUUGGUGGUCCAAGCAGCACAGGAUGCCGCUCAAUGCCGUGGAGAUCUCCGACUGCGAGGACGUGGACUUGUAUCUCCAGACCAUCCGGCUCAUGUACUGCCGGGAUUUGAGGCGGAGCUUGAUCAAGGAGAGUGUCACCCGAGUUCUUGGGAUUCUAAAGGUGUCUGCGGCAAUUCUCUUCGAAGCUGGCGUGGUUUCGUGCCUCGAGUACCUGGAAGCCAUGCCGUGGCCAGAGGACGAGGAAGAGAGAGUAACAUCGCUCGUCUCUCAGCUCCAACUGGACAGUGUCGCGUCAAUGGAGGUACUCAAGAGGCUGAGCAGCAUAGAAAUGGUGGAGACGGAAAGCAUCGUUGCCAGGCUCUUGCAGUCAGUGAUUCAGGGAACCGACGAGAAGGCCCGGCGUGAGACAAAGUCUCUCGUCUCCAGGAUGCUUCGCGAGAAUCCUUCCAUAGCCAAGGACUCGUGGGACUCUUGCCGGGGUUGCAUAUAUCGGGCUUGCGAGAGCUGCCUCGAGGCUCUAAGUCGGCUCUUCACACAGGUGAUCGAGAGCUCCAAUGCGGCCGGCUAUGAAAAGGAAGGAACACUCGGCGCACAGAUAUCUCGUCAGGCUGAUAAUCUCAACUGGAUGGUGGAUAUCUUGAUCGAUCGGGAGAUAGCAGAUACUUUUGUCAAGAUCUGGGCUUCUCAAGCGGAGCUCGCCAGCUUAUACUCUCGGAUUCCAAGCGUCUACAGAUACGACGUGAGCCGGAUCACUGCUCGGUUGUGCAUGGCCAUCGGCAAAGGCCAAGUUUUGGUGCCACAGGACGUGAGGUUUUUGCUGCUCCAGACGUGGUUCCAGCCGCUGGUGGAUGACUUUGGAUGGCUGCAAAGGUGUUGCAAGAGCUUGGACAAGAAGUCCGUAGAGGAGGGGAUAAGCCAAACGAUCCUUACGCUCCCGCUCAAGCAGCAGCAGUUCAUCCUCCUCGGCUGGUUCGACUGUUUCUCGAGGAGCGCUGGUGACUGUCCGAACCUCAACAGAGCUUUCGAGGUGUGGUGGAGGAGGACUUUCGUGCGGCCAUUGCUGGAGACGAGCUGCGUUCACCAGCUUACGAACUAGCGAGCACUAAGGAUGGGGACGAGGACGUAUCAAUUCGAGCUGCCAAAACGGGCAUGCUGGAAAGAGUACCCGACGGAAAGGCCUUGGCGCUCACGGGUUUUCCUGUAGAGAGUUCCAGAUUCUGCCGGAGCACCGUGGCUGGCUGGGCAGGAUUCUUCGCUGCGGCAGAAGCAGCAGCCUGGUGUGGAGGUGAAAAAAAGAGAAACCAUUACCUCAACAGGUAGUGUUGCAGGACCUUGACAAAAAUCUCUCCAGUAGCUUGCAAGGCUUUUCAGUCUGGCUUGAUCUUGGAGUGUGGUUUGCUGCUUCUGUUUUUCUAUUUUCCCGUUAUUAUGAUUCUUGGAGCUUUGUUGUUUGCUUGGCAUUGGCAAUGGCAUGUGUAGCAACAGUGAUACUUUUAUCUCGUAAAUCCCGCAGGCCUGCCUUGCUCGUUUGGUUGGCUCGCUGUUUUGGUUUUGCAGGGACGGCCUUCGUUUCCACAGAAGUUAGCAGAUCAAACAGGCGAUUACAGCAGCAGCACAAGAGGUGCGUUGUCACGGGCGAGCUGUGCGGUGCUGCAGUGCUUUUUGUGUCGAUCGAGAGCAAAAGAAAAGCACGGAAAAAAAAAAAGUGGAGGAGGUGGUGAUGACCACUGUCCUGGCAGCGCAGUCGCGGUGUAAGAGAUAGCAAUGUGGGAGAACGAAGACUGUUAGGUGCUGCCUAUAGUGACUGAGGGUCCAGGAAUUAUAACUCGUUUGACAACGAGGAAGCGAGAACUUUGCUACCAGUGUGAGAAUUACUCUUGCGCAGUAUCUGUAAAUCGUGGGCCACUUUUUUGCGCAGAGGCAACUUCUAUGGACAUUGAAUAGAAGUGAUGUAAACUUC